This is a non-coding RNA of Pangasianodon hypophthalmus (striped catfish), 1199 nucleotides long. The record is from the annotation of a RefSeq genome assembly. Lineage: Eukaryota; Metazoa; Chordata; Actinopteri; Siluriformes; Pangasiidae.
AACACACACCAUGAUCUCUACAUCCCUACUGCUGCUGCUGCUGGCAGCCGUACACUGUGUUCACUGUGUUGAGCUGAUCCAGACCGGAUCCACAGUGUUAACCCCUGGUCAGUCAAUGACUCUGACCUGUAAAGUGUCUGGAUAUUCAGUAACUGAUAGCAGCUACUGUACAGCCUGGAUACGACAACCUGCAGGAAAAGCUCUGGAGUGGAUCGGAGAAGCAUGUGGUAGCGGUAACACUUACAACAGUGAGAAACUGAAAAGCAGGUUUCAGGUUUCCAGAGACACGUCCAGCAGCACAGUAACAUUAACAGGGCAGAAGAUGCAGACUGAAGACACAGCUGUGUAUUACUGCGCUCGUAAACCACAGUGAGACAGAUCAACAACAUCCCUGUACAAAAACACCCAGUACAGAAAACUUUUUGAUCUAAAAACAGUGUACAUUAGAACAGAAUAAUCACAAGUACAACACUUAUCUAUCCAAGUCUGAGCAAAAAAGACAAAUUCACACAAUUAACAAGUAGUUUGAAGUUGGUUAUUUGUUUGAUUAGUUAGUAGUUUAGAUUUUAAACCAUAAUUCUACAUCUGUAACAUUGCUGCACAUUAUACACACACAGUGAAGAGUCCAGAACACUCGGAGUUUGGUUUACACAUUCAGUCGAUGUUCGUUAAUCUGCCAAAACAAAAAGAUACAGAAUGGCUAUUAAGUAAGGAAUAAAACACAUGGGAGCAUGCUGUUAUUGGAAAAUAAUCAAUGACAGGGUGAUGUGAUGUGCCUCGACAUGAAGCGGAGUUACUCUUACCACCCUUAAGCUGAUUAUUUUCCUAUAACAAGGAAAUCAGAAUGGAGCAUUAAACAGCACUCUGGUAUAAACCGUAUUUAAUUUCUCUCUCACAGAAACAUAACUAUUAUAAUCACAUCACCAACAAGAAUUUUCUAUAGCCAUUACCUUAUCCUUCAUAAAAGGUCAAGUUGUGAAUUGUGUGAUUAUGUAUGAGAAUUAGUUUUUAUUAAAAAGCCACGUUUCCUCCAUUAGCUGAAUCUCCUCCCCAUGAUUUAAAUAUGUUCUACAUAUGUUCAUCAAUGUUUAAUCAGUGGAUUCAGGAAUAAUACAGCAUGUUUCCAGCAGUGUGUUGUGUUUAACACACAGUCUGUUCUCAUAGUUUGAGGUGCAAUAUUUGAAAUAACUGAAGGAGGC